GAUGAACGCUGGCGGCGUGCCUAAUACAUGCAAGUCGAGCGAACGGACGAGAAGCUUGCUUCUCUGAUGUUAGCGGCGGACGGGUGAGUAACACGUGGAUAACCUACCUAUAAGACUGGGAUAACUUCGGGAAACCGUAGCUAAUACCGGAUAAUAUUUUGAACCGCAUGGUUCAAAAGUGAAAGACGGUCUUGCUGUCACUUAUAGAUGGAUCCGCGCUGCAUUAGCUAGUUGGUAAGGUAACGGCUUACCAAGGCAACGAUGCAUAGCCGACCUGAGAGGGUGAUCGGCCACACUGGAACUGAGACACGGUCCAGACUCCUACGGGAGGCAGCAGUAGGGAAUCUUCCGCUAUGGGCGAAAGCCUGACGGAGCAACGCCGCGUGAGUGAUGAAGGUCUUCGGAUCGUAAAACUCUGUUAUUAGGGAAGAACAUAUGUGUAAGUAACUGUGCACAUCUUGACGGUACCUAAUCAGAAAGCCACGGCUAACUACGUG
RNAcentral lists this ribosomal RNA (497 nucleotides) under uncultured bacterium. Its description in RNAcentral is "partial 16S ribosomal RNA". It matches the Rfam family "Bacterial small subunit ribosomal RNA", at positions 28 to 507 of the family's 1533-position model. The record is from RNAcentral.